CAGGAAGUAGUUUAUUAAAAAUAUUAAUUUUGGAGAUUAAAGAUAGGAUUUUUUCCUUUUCCUGA
RNAcentral lists this transfer RNA (65 nucleotides) under Corigetus marmoratus. RNAcentral describes it as "tRNA-Pro". The record is from RNAcentral. Lineage: Eukaryota; Metazoa; Arthropoda; Insecta; Coleoptera; Curculionidae.